AGCGAACGCUGGCGGCAGGCCUAAUACAUGCAAGUCGAACGGCUCUUCGGAGCAGUGGCGGACGGGUGAGUAACGCGUGGGAACGUGCCCUUUGGUUCGGAACAACACAGGGAAACUUGUGCUAAUACCGAGUGUGCCCUUCGGGGGAAAGAUUUAUCGCCAUUGGAGCGGCCCGCGUUGGAUUAGCUAGUUGGUGGGGUAAUGGCCCACCAAGGCUACGAUCCAUAGCUGGUCUGAGAGGAUGAUCAGCCACACUGGGACUGAGACACGGCCCAGACUCCUACGGGAGGCAGCAGUAGGGAAUCUUGCGCAAUGGGCGAAAGCCUGACGCAGCCAUGCCGCGUGAAUGAUGAAGGUCUUAGGAUUGUAAAAUUCUUUCACCGGGGAAGAUAAUGACGGUACCCGGAGAAGAAGCCCCGGCUAACUUCGUGCCAGCCGCCGCAGUAA
This 447-nucleotide ribosomal RNA is filed under the name uncultured bacterium. RNAcentral's name for it is "partial 16S ribosomal RNA". It matches the Rfam family "Bacterial small subunit ribosomal RNA", at positions 29 to 523 of the family's 1533-position model. The record is from RNAcentral.